Non-coding RNA from Peromyscus maniculatus bairdii (prairie deer mouse), 1378 nucleotides. The record is from RefSeq and is a predicted model, not a curated record. Lineage: Eukaryota; Metazoa; Chordata; Mammalia; Rodentia; Cricetidae.
CAGUGGUCUUAGGUGACCCCUGUGAAAGGGUUGUUCGACCCCCAGGUUGAGAAACUCUUAGAGGUUUCUCUAGCUCACAGAAUCCUUGGAGUCCUACACCCAAACUGUACAGAAACAGCUGUACUUAAAUCUUGCAGAAAAUGUUAACACAGCAGUAUACUUUCACAAGUCUGCCAAAAUGAAUAUUCUUGAUUUCACAAUCAGUUUCAAGAAAGAAUGAAUUGUUUGAAAAAAGAUAGUUAAAGCGUUUUCCAAAGCCAUGCUUGGUGGUACAUGUCAGAAUCCUAGCACUUGGGAGACUGAGGCAGAAGAUUGCAAUUUUUUAUUUUGUUUUGUUUUGUUUUGUUUGAGGCAAGGUCUCUCUACGAAGCCCUGGUAGGCCUGGAACCCUCUAUGUGAUCAGGCUGGCCUCGAACUCAUUGGGAUCUGCCUGCCUCUGCCUCUGCCUCUGCCUCUGCUCUCCAAGUGCUAGGAUUAAUGCAGCCCAGGCUAGCUUCAAAACUGCAGUCUUCUAGCUGCAUAGCCCCAGGCUCACAAAACAAAAGCAUACUGGAGUAUGUGAUCAUUAAGAAGCAGAAGUCUAGCAGUCUUUUCAUUGGCCUUUGCUUAAGAAACAUUAAAUGCUGUACUGUUUUUCUUUCUGAACAUGCAAUGGCAGUUAGACACGCUCCUUUCAUCUUGACUUUUCUGUCUCAGAAAUCUUUGUGUGCAGGAAGCGGUCGGUCCACGGUGUGCUCUGGCAAUGCUGCUAUACAGGCCUGUGCUCUGAUGGCCUGCCGGAGUCCUGUGCUGUCUCUAGAGUGACUCAGCAUUAGUCAGAGGAGCAGAACAAGAAAUCCUGAGAGACUGUGACCAGCUCCCUACUUAGGCACUCUCCUCCAUCUGCAUGGCCGCUGCAGGCAGCAGCCAGCCAGGAGCAGCGCUGUUUAACCAACAUUUGGUGCCGUUCAGAUUCGGAUACACCACCAAUCACCGAGGACCUGCUGUGACCACUGCCACCUGCCGCCUCCUUCCCCAUCCAGCGAGACCGUGAGACCGUGAGACCGCGAGUGUCCCUGCUGCCUCGCCUCCACUGGACCCACACACAGCUACUGCUGCCGUCACCACAGCCUCCCCGACUAAAACUUAAGCAUCUGGAGAGCAAAGUUCCUGACCCCACAGGCAAAAGAGUCAUCCGCGACAUUUAUGGUGUGCCGGGGAAGAGAUAAAAGCCAAAAAAAAAAAUUGCCAAGUGCUGGCGCUUGCUGACUCCCGCAAGCUGUUGGGUUCCUGUUUUAAGUGAGGAAAAGGCCACAGGCUAGUGAAUGCCCUGCCAGGCCAUCAACAGCCUUGUUAAAAGUGCUGCCUAGAAAGACAACAAGUCAGCUGACUGCCCCCC